Molecule: ribosomal RNA, 253 nt
Filed under: uncultured bacterium
Lineage: Bacteria
Description: partial 16S ribosomal RNA
Rfam family: Bacterial small subunit ribosomal RNA
Source: RNAcentral
UACAGAGGUCUCAAGCGUUGUCCGGAUUUAUUGGGUUUAAAGGGUGCGUAGGCGGCUUUGUAAGUCAGUGGUGAAAUAUGGCAGCUUAACUGUCAGGGUGCCAUUGAUACUGCGGAGCUUGAGUACAGAUGAGGUAGGCGGAAUUGACGGUGUAGCGGUGAAAUGCUUAGAUAUCGUCAAGAACACCUAUAGCGAAGGCAGCUUACUAGGCUGUAACUGACGCUGAGGCACGAAAGUGUGGGGAUCAAACAGG